This 460-nucleotide ribosomal RNA is filed under the name uncultured bacterium. RNAcentral's name for it is "partial 16S ribosomal RNA". It matches the Rfam family "Bacterial small subunit ribosomal RNA", at positions 338 to 795 of the family's 1533-position model. The record is from RNAcentral.
CCUACGGGAGGCAGCAGUGAGGAAUAUUGGUCAAUGGCCGGAAGGCUGAACCAGCCAUGCCGCGUGAAGGUCAGUGCCCUAUGGGCGUUAAACUUCUUUUGUGCGGGAGCAAUAAUGGUCACGUGUGGCCAGACGAGAGUACCGUACGAAUAAGCAUCGGCUACCUCCGUGCCAGCAGCCGCGGUAAUACGGGGGAUGCAAGCGUUAUCCGGAUUUAUUGGGUUUAAAGGGUGCGUAGGCUGUGAGGUAAGUCAGCGGUGAAAUGCCCCAGCUCAACGGGGUGAAGUGCCAUUGAUACUGCCUUGCUGGAAUGCGGAUGCCGUGGGAGGAAUGUGUGGUGUAGCGGUGACAUGCAUAGAUAUCACACAGAACACCGAUUGCGAAGGCAUCUCACGAAUCCGCGAUUGACGCUGAUGCACGAAAGCGUGGGUAUCAAACAGGAUUAGAUACCCCUGUAGUC